GGGGAUUUGGCUCAGUGGUAGAGCGCUUGCCUAGCAAGCACAAGGCCCUGAGUUCGAUCCCCAGCUCUG
RNAcentral lists this transfer RNA (69 nucleotides) under Rattus norvegicus (Norway rat). It matches the Rfam family "tRNA". From Rfam's summary of the family: Transfer RNA (tRNA) molecules are approximately 80 nucleotides in length. Their secondary structure includes four short double-helical elements and three loops (D, anti-codon, and T loops). The record is from Rfam by way of RNAcentral. Lineage: Eukaryota; Metazoa; Chordata; Mammalia; Rodentia; Muridae.